This 561-nucleotide long non-coding RNA is filed under the name Zonotrichia albicollis (white-throated sparrow). RNAcentral describes it as "lncRNA (ENSZALG00000000313.1)". The record is from RNAcentral. Lineage: Eukaryota; Metazoa; Chordata; Aves; Passeriformes; Passerellidae.
CUCCGCCCCGCCGCCGCCCCUCGGAAAAUAAUAAACAAUCGAGUAAAAUGCGGCGCGGGGCGGGGGUCCGGGCGGGCUCCGCGCCCCCUCCCCGGAGUUGCCCCUCGCUCCGGGCCCUGCCUGCAGCCCUGCCGCCAGAAAAGCCUUUCCUCUAGGUGCUGCGGCGCUCGCACGGAAAUUGCCUCAGCCAGAAGCAGUGGCAGUGGGGACUGUUCUACUUGCAGGAAUGUUGGGACUAAUCAUGUGAGAAAAGAUCCUGGAGUGAUGAGGCAGCAUAUUUCCCAUGUCUGAGGUCAGGAUUUGUUCUGUGAAGCUGACCUUUAAAACAGCCUGAAAAUGAGGAACGUGACACCAGAGCAGAGCAGGAAGCAUGAAAUUAUGUAAGAUAUGUUUCUUCUGCAUAUGAAAUACUUUUUCUUUAAAGCUCCAGGUUUGUGAUUCAGCAUUUUCUGCCACUGAGAGAUACAAGAAAGGGGAAAAUUCUGUAGCAAAGAAAGAAAGUCCCUAUUGUUCUAAUCAAAACCUAAUAAAAUAUUAGCCACCAGGUACUUUUGUUCCCUU